AUUUUACGACUGGGACCAAUACUGCCAGUGUCGAUACAAAGCCUAAAACAAAGAUAAAUAAACACAAGGUUUCUUUACAAGAUGUUCUGGAGUUCCUGAAGUCAGGACGCCAGAUGCCAGCGCACUUGGAAAAUUUGGAGAAGACCACGAGGAGAAAAGCCUUCCAUGCGCUUUCAGAAUUCUCAAGAAACUUUGUGUAUGAAGCUGUUAUUAUUUACUUGGUUUUUACUUGGCUUUGGGUGGAUUUGUGAUUUAUUUUAUGCUUUGGAUUUACUGGAAAUAUAUUGCUUGGUAUUAUUGUGGCCAGAGCCAAGUUUCCUCAUCAAAGAUUUGCAAUGGAUUGUCUAUGAUUUAUUUCAUUCCUACUGGGUAUUGUUGCUUGGUAUUAUUCAUUGGAAAAUGAAUUCCAACUUAGUGAAAGCUAGCUAAAUAAAUAACAGUCUUUAUUACAUUGGUCAACAUGGAAAGAAAGGCGAAAAACGAUCAGGUACCAAAAAAAGCAAAGGUACUAUUUAACAGGGAUGAGGUUAGUAUAGUAUGCAUUAUGCAAUUAGUAAAUUAGUAAAAUACCCAUGUAAAUUCACCACUUAUAACUUGUUUUAGAUUGAUCG
Molecule: long non-coding RNA, 611 nt
Organism: Dendronephthya gigantea
Lineage: Eukaryota; Metazoa; Cnidaria; Anthozoa; Malacalcyonacea; Nephtheidae
Exons: 4
Source: RefSeq, a predicted model, not a curated record